UACGGAGGAUGCGAGCGUUAUCCGGAUUUAUUGGGUUUAAAGGGUGCGUAGGCGGCUUUUUAAGUCAGCGGUGAAAUUUUGCAGCUUAACUGUAACAGUGCCGUUGAUACUGGGGAGCUAGGAUUUGGUUGCUGUGGGUGGAAUGUGUGGUGUAGCGGUGAAAUGCUUAGAGAUCACACAGAAUAUCGAUUGCGAAGGCAGCUCAUAAAGCCAAGAUUGACGCUGAGGCACGAAAGUGUGGGGAUCAAACAGGAUUA
This 257-nucleotide ribosomal RNA is filed under the name uncultured prokaryote. RNAcentral describes it as "partial 16S ribosomal RNA". It matches the Rfam family "Bacterial small subunit ribosomal RNA", at positions 524 to 780 of the family's 1533-position model. The record is from RNAcentral.